Molecule: ribosomal RNA, 437 nt
Filed under: uncultured bacterium
Lineage: Bacteria
Description: partial 16S ribosomal RNA
Rfam family: Bacterial small subunit ribosomal RNA
Source: RNAcentral
UAGGGAAUCUUCCACAAUGGACGCAAGUCUGAUGGAGCAACGCCGCGUGAGUGAAGAAGGUCUUCGGAUCGUAAAGCUCUGUUGUUGGUGAAGAAGGAUAGAGGCAGUAACUGGUCUUUAUUUGACGGUAAUCAACCAGAAAGUCACGGCUAACUACGUGCCAGCAGCCGCGGUAAUACGUAGGUGGCAAGCGUUGUCCGGAUUUAUUGGGCGUAAAGCGAGCGCAGGCGGAAUGAUAAGUCUGAUGUGAAAGCCCACGGCUCAACCGUGGAACUGCAUCGGAAACUGUCAUUCUUGAGUGCAGAAGAGGAGAGUGGAACUCCAUGUGUAGCGGUGGAAUGCGUAGAUAUAUGGAAGAACACCAGUGGCGAAGGCGGCUCUCUGGUCUGCAACUGACGCUGAGGCUCGAAAGCAUGGGUAGCGAACAGGAUUAGAUA